CCUACGAGAGGCAGCAGUGAGGAAUAUUGGUCAAUGGGAGAGAUCCUGAACCAGCCAAGCCGCGUGAGGGAAGACGGCCCUAUGGGUUGUAAACCUCUUUUGUCGGAGAACAAAACCCGGGACGUGUCCCGGCCUGCGUGUAUCCGAAGAAAAAGCAUCGGCUAACUCCGUGCCAGCAGCCGCGGUAAUACGGAGGAUGCGAGGGUGAUCCGGCUUUAUUGGGUUAAAGGGGUGCGUAGGCGGUCCGGUAAGUCAGCGGUAAAAUUGCGGGGCUAAACCCCGUCUAGCCGUUGAAACUGGCAGGCUUGAGUUGGCGAGAAGUACGCGGAAUGCGAGGUGUAGCGGUGAAAUGCAUAGAUAUCGCGCAGAACUCCGAUUGCGAAGGCAGCGUACCGGCGCCAGACUGACGCUGAGGCACGAAAGCGUGGGGAUCGAACAGGAUUAGAUACCCCUGUAGUC
RNAcentral lists this ribosomal RNA (459 nucleotides) under uncultured bacterium. Its description in RNAcentral is "partial 16S ribosomal RNA". It matches the Rfam family "Bacterial small subunit ribosomal RNA", at positions 338 to 795 of the family's 1533-position model. The record is from RNAcentral.